RNAcentral lists this ribosomal RNA (428 nucleotides) under uncultured bacterium. Its description in RNAcentral is "partial 16S ribosomal RNA". It matches the Rfam family "Bacterial small subunit ribosomal RNA", at positions 338 to 795 of the family's 1533-position model. The record is from RNAcentral.
CCUACGGGUGGCAGCAGUGGGGAAUCUUGGACAAUGGGCGCAACCUGAUCCAGCCAUGCCGCGUGAGUGACGAAGGUCUUCGGAUUGUAAAGCUCUUUUGCCAGGGACGCGGUACCUGGAGAAUAAGCCCCGGCUAACUUCGUGCCAGCAGCCGCGGUAAUACGAAGGGGGCUAGCGUUGUUCGGAAUUACUGGGCGUAAAGCGCACGUAGGCGGAUCUAUAAGUCAGGGGUGAAAUCCCGGGGCUCAACUCGGAACUGCCUUUGAUACUGUAGAUCUCGAGUCCGGAAGAGGUGAGUGGAAUUCCUAGUGUAGAGGUGAAAUUCGUAGAUAUUAGGAAGAACACCAGUGGCGAAGGCGGCUCACUGGUCGGACUGACGCUGAGGUGCGAAACGUGGGGAGCAAACAGGAUUAGAUACCCUUGUAGUC